GGAAGCGUAUCGAAGUGGUCAUAACGAGCCGCACUCGAAAUGCGGUGACGGGCAACCGUCCGCGAGUUCGAAUCUCGCCGCUUCCGCCA
This 89-nucleotide transfer RNA is filed under the name Candidatus Limadaptatus stercoravium. Its description in RNAcentral is "tRNA-Ser". It matches the Rfam family "tRNA". Rfam says of the family: Transfer RNA (tRNA) molecules are approximately 80 nucleotides in length. Their secondary structure includes four short double-helical elements and three loops (D, anti-codon, and T loops). The record is from RNAcentral. RNAcentral also lists the same sequence under 2 other names. Lineage: Bacteria; Bacillati; Bacillota; Clostridia; Eubacteriales.